UUUCUGAUGGUUCAGUGACUAAGACUCCAUGCUUCCAAUGCAGGGGGCCCAGGUUCAAUUCCUGGUCAGGGAA
This 73-nucleotide transfer RNA is filed under the name Bos taurus (domestic cattle). It matches the Rfam family "tRNA". Rfam says of the family: Transfer RNA (tRNA) molecules are approximately 80 nucleotides in length. Their secondary structure includes four short double-helical elements and three loops (D, anti-codon, and T loops). Lineage: Eukaryota; Metazoa; Chordata; Mammalia; Artiodactyla; Bovidae. RNAcentral also lists the same sequence under 2 other names. The record is from Rfam by way of RNAcentral.